This 250-nucleotide long non-coding RNA is filed under the name Mytilus galloprovincialis (Mediterranean mussel). Lineage: Eukaryota; Metazoa; Mollusca; Bivalvia; Mytilida; Mytilidae. The record is from RNAcentral.
GCGGCUAUUCCUUCAUCUUUUGGAAUAUUUGUGUAUAAAGAACACACAUCCAUUGAAACCAAAAUUGUGUUGUUAGGUAAAGGACUUAAGGAAUUCAUUUUCUUUAAAUAGUCAGUCGUAUCUUGAAUAUGAGAUGGUAAUUGUUUAACAUGUGGUCUGAGGUGGUAAUCAACAAAUUCUGAAUUUUUUCGGUGGAAUGGCCAUUAGCUGAUACUAUAGGUUUCCCUGGAAUCCCUUCUUUGUGGAGUUU